CUUCACAAAUAUUUUGAUAUGAGCGUCACUGAUGAGUCUUAUGUAGACGAAACGCGCGUCUGGCGUACUAAAUUAUAAUCCUGGUACCUUUGAUAACUAUUUACAUACAAAUAGAAAAUAAAAUAUAGCAUUACAACUACAAACGAUAAUACACAAACCAAUAUCCGAUCCGAAUUACAAAUAAAACAUCAUAACUAAAUACAUGAAUGCUGGUUAAACAAAUACCGAAACACGUCUUAUAGCAAUGCGAAUUCGCACUCAGCAAAACAGUCAUAUUCGGGAAUAGGUCACGUUCGCUACUUAAGAGACCAGACGAUGUUUAUGGGAAACCACAAUAAAAGGCAAAGGAAAAACCUCAGUUAGUUUAGACACAUACACAUCCUGUGGAUCAACCAAUUUAUGAAUGUGUCCAUAAAAUUUACGGUGUGUUAUUUUUAGCUCAUCUGGCCCAAAAAGGCCAAGUAUGUUUGUCACAUCACUUGGUGUCCGUCGUUCGUUGUGUCGUCGUCGUCCGUCAUCAACCGUUAAGUUAAAAAAAAAUAGCGGAUAAAAAGGUGCCAAAUUAAUUAUUGAUUAACUAAACUGGUUUGUAGACAAUACUUGAAUAUAAGUAUAAAAAAAGAUGUGGUAUGAUUGCCAAUAAGACAACUCUUCGCAAGAGACCAAAUGACACAGAAAUUAACAACCAUAGUUCACUGUACGGUCUUCAACAAUAAAAAAAAAAAAGGCCAUACUGCAUAGUUAGCCGAAAUGAAAAAUGUAAGCAAUCCAAACGAGAACACUAAUGGCCUAAUAAAUGUACAAAAUGAACCAAACACAAACAUGAUACACAACAACAUACAACAAAUUCUGAAUUACAGACUCCUGACUUGGGACAGGCACAUACAUACAAAAUGUGGCGGGAUUAAACAUGUUAGCGAGAUCCCAACCUUCUCCUUGACAUGGAAAGUGGUGUAACCUUACAACAUAAGAAAGAACUAUAAAAAUCAGUUGAAAAAGACUUAACUCCUCAGAUGGAUACACAUAUAAAUACAGUAACAAAAACAUAGAGUGGGCGUGGCCGCGUACUUGUACAUCCCAAUAAUAAAAAGACACUAAGUGCAAAUCUGAGAGUACUCGCAAAGACAAUUAAUACAAAAAAAGUGCAUCUAUGACUUUUAAAUUAUCAAUCAGUACACAUCCAACACAAUUGAUUCAGUGUAAAGACGUCAUAUACAAUCAGAGAAAAACAUGACCUUGUGCAUUGCCAAGAAACAG
RNAcentral lists this long non-coding RNA (1257 nucleotides) under Mytilus galloprovincialis (Mediterranean mussel). The record is from RNAcentral. Lineage: Eukaryota; Metazoa; Mollusca; Bivalvia; Mytilida; Mytilidae.